UCCAAUCGAACUCGGAGAUAGCUGGUUCUCCCCGAAAUAGCUUUAGGGCUAGCGUUGUGUUAGUUUACCGGAGGUAGAGCACUGAAUUGGCUAAGGGGCGAUGAGCUUACUGAACCUUAUCAAACUUCGAAUGCCGGAUAAAUGGUGCACAGCAGUCAGACAGUGUGAGAUAAGUUUCAUUGUCAAGAGGGAAACAGCCCAGACCCACAGCUAAGGUCCCAAAUGAACGCUAAGUGGAAAACGAUGUGGGGUUGCAGAAACAACCAGGAUGUUGGCUUAGAGGCAGCCACUCAUUAAAAGAGUGCGUAAUAGCUCACUGGUCGAGUGACCCUGCGCGGAAAAUAUAACGGGGCUAAGCGUCCAACCGAAGCUUGGGAUGUCUAAGGACAUGGUAGGGGAGCGUCGUGUAUAGGGAGAAGCAUGAGCGAGAGCACAUGUGGACAGUACACGAGUGAGAAUGCCGGAAUGAGUAGCGAGAAUUAUGUGGGAAUCAUAAUGGCCGAAAAUCUAAGGUUUCUUGGGGAAGGUUCGUCCGCCCAAGGUAAGCCGGGAGCUAAGGCGAGGCCGAAAGGCGUAGUCGAUGCACAUACGGUUGAAAUUCCGUAGCCACCGAACCUUAAGUACACUGACACAUAGAGAUAGCGGGACCCGGGCGUUGGUUGACCCGGGCGUAAGGGACCGAACUUUAGUAGGGAAGUCCGCGAUGCUCUGUGGCGAGAAAAGGUGUAUGGUAUGCUAAGGUGCCCGUACCGCAAACCGACACAGGUAGAUGAGGAGAGAAUCCUAAGGCCAACGGGAGAAGGGUUGUUAAGGAACUCGGCAAAAUGACCCCGUAACUUCGGGAUAAGGGGAGCCUCCUACGGGAGGCCGCAGCGAAUAGGCCCAAGCGACUGUUUACCAAAAACACAGGUCUCUGCUAAAUCGAAAGAUGACGUAUAGGGGCUGACGCCUGCCCGGUGCUGGAAGGUUAAGAGGAGAGGUUAGCGCAAGCGAAGCUUUGAAUUUAAGCCCCAGUAAACGGCGGCCGUAACUAUAACGGUCCUAAGGUAGCGAAAUUCCUUGUCAGGUAAGUUCUGACCCGCACGAAUGGCGUAAUGAUUUGGGCACUGUCUCAACAGCCCGCCCGGCGAAAUUGUAGUACUGGUGAAGAUGCCAGUUACCCGCAACUAGACGGAAAGACCCCAUGGAGCUUUACUGUAGCCUAAUACUGAAGAUCGGUAAUGCAUGUACAGGAUAGGUGGGAGCCAGCGAAACCCGGGCGUCAGCUUGGAUGGAGGCAACCUUGGAAUACCACCCUUGUAUUGCUGGUUUUCUAACCUGCGGCCAUGAAUCUGGUCGGGGGACACUGUUAGGUGGGCAGUUUGACUGGGGCGGUCGCCUCCAAAAGCGUAACGGAGGCGCUCAAAGGUUGGCUCAGCACGGACGGAAAUCGUGCAUAGAGUGCAAACGCAUAAGCCAACUUGACUGCGAGACCGACGGGUCGAGCAGGUACGAAAGUAGGAGUUAGUGAUCCGGUGGUAUGUGAGUGGAAAUGCCAUCGCUCAACGGAUAAAAGCUACCCUGGGGAUAACAGGCUGAUCUCCCCCAAGCGUCCACAGCGACGGGGAGGUUUGGCACCUCGAUGUCGGCUCGUCACAUCCUGGGGCUGUAUUCGGUCCCAAGGGUUCGGCUGUUCGCCGAUUAAAGUGGCACGCGAGCUGGGUUCAGAACGUCGUGAGACAGUUCGGUCCCUAUCUGUUGCGGGCGCAGGAGAUUUGAAGGGAGCUGUCCUUAGUACGAGAGGACCGGGAUGGACAGACCUCUGGUGCACCAGUUGUCGUGCCAACGGCACAGCUGGGUAGCUACGUCUGGACGAGAUAAACGCUGAAAGCAUCUAAGUGUGAAACUCCCCCUAAGAUAAGAUCUCCCAUCCAUUAGGAGUAAGGGACGACAAAGACUAUGUCGUUGAUAGGUCGGAAGUGUAAGUGCAGUAAUGCAUUGAGCUGACCGAUACUAAUAACCCGAGGGCUUGACCUA
This 2016-nucleotide ribosomal RNA is filed under the name human gut metagenome. RNAcentral describes it as "bacterial LSU rRNA". It matches the Rfam family "Bacterial large subunit ribosomal RNA", at positions 828 to 2925 of the family's 2925-position model. The record is from RNAcentral.